GAUGAAGAACGCAGCGAAAUGCGAUAAGUAAUGUGAAUUGCAGAAUUCAGUGAAUCAUCGAAUCUUUGAACGCACAUUGCGCCCGUCAGUAUUCUGGCGGGCAUGCCUGUUCGAGCGUCAUUACGCCCCUCAAGUCCCCUGUGGACUUGGUGUUGGGGAUCGGCGAGGCUGGUUUUCCAGCACAGCCGUCCCUUAAAUUAAUUGGCGGUCUCGCCGUGGCCCUCCUCUGCGCAGUAGUAAAACACUCGCAACAGGAGCCCGGCGCGGUCCACUGCCGUAAAACCCCCCAACUUUUUAUAGUUGGCCUCGAAUCAGGUAGGACUACCCGCUGAACUUAAGCAUAUCAAUAAGCGGAGGA
This 358-nucleotide unclassified non-coding RNA is filed under the name soil metagenome. RNAcentral describes it as "partial contains 5.8S ribosomal RNA, internal transcribed spacer 2, and large subunit ribosomal RNA". The stretch from base 1 to 120 matches the Rfam family "5.8S ribosomal RNA", at positions 35 to 154 of the family's 154-position model. The record is from RNAcentral.